UAGGAUUUGAUUAGGGUUUAGGGUUAGGUUUUGGUUAUAAUUUGGUUAGGAUUUAGAGUUAGGAUUUGAUUAGGAUUUGACUAGGAUUUAUUUAGGAUUUGACUAGGAUUUGUUUAAGAUUUGACUAGGGUUUGUUUAGGGUUUGGAAUUGAUUAGGAUUUUUUAGGGUUAGGAUUUGUCUAAGAUUUGACUAGGAUAUAUUUAGGAUUUAGGGUUUAUAUAGGGUUUGAUUAAGUUUGGAUUAGGAUCACGGUUUGGUUUGAAUUUAAGAUUCAUUUAGAUUUUUGUUAGGGUUUGAUUAAGUUUUCUUUAAUAUUCUUUUAUAUUUCUUUAGGAUUUCUUUGUGUUUCUUUUAUAACUUCAAUAAAAUUUAAUUGAGCUUGCUUAAUGUUUGAUUAUGAUUUUUAACGUUUAAUUGUAAUUUCGCUAUAAUCCUAUUGGAUUGUUAGGACCUUUUGUUGCAAUUUUCUUUUACCUUCCAUAGCCAGGUGCCCGAUGCAUUCUCAAGCAAGACUUCACGUAAUACAACAACGUUACUUUAAUUCAAUGACAAUA
RNAcentral lists this long non-coding RNA (555 nucleotides) under Physcomitrium patens. Its description in RNAcentral is "long non-coding RNA (PPAT_LNC002835)". The record is from RNAcentral. Lineage: Eukaryota; Viridiplantae; Streptophyta; Bryopsida; Funariales; Funariaceae.